UUGUCCCCUUCUCCUCCUGCCCCCAAUCCCUCCCAACAUCAGAGUCUUUUCCAAUGAGUCAACUCUUUGCAUGAGGUGGCCACAGUACUGGAGCUUCAGCUUCAGCAUCAUUCCUUCCAAAGAAAUCCCAGGGCUGAUCUCCUUCAGAAUGGACUGGUUGGAUCUCCUUGCAGUCCAAGGGACUCUCAAGAGUCUUCUCCAACACCACAGUUCAAAAGCAUCAAUUCUUCAAUUCUUCAGCGCUCAGCUUUCUUCACAGUCCAACUCUCCCAUCCAUACAUGACCAUUGGAAAAACCAUAGCCUUGACUAGAUGGACCUUUGUUGGCAAAGUUAUGUCUCUGCUUUUUAAUAUGCUAUCUAGGUUGGCCAUAGUACCCAUUAGUGCUAAAUAAAUUAUAUCUUUUAGAAUUGUGCCUGUGUGCUCAGUCACUUCAGUCAAGUCCGAAUCUUUGCAACUCCUUAGACUGUAGAUGUCCAGGCUCCUCUGUUCAUGGGUUUCUCCAUGCAAGAAUACUGGAGUAGAUUGUCAUGCCUUCCUCCAGGGAAUCUUCCCAACCCAAUGAUUGAGCCCAUGCCUCCUGUGUCUCCUGCAUUGUAGGUGGAUACUUUACCCACUGAACCACCUAGGAAG
Molecule: long non-coding RNA, 632 nt
Filed under: Ovis aries (sheep)
Lineage: Eukaryota; Metazoa; Chordata; Mammalia; Artiodactyla; Bovidae
Description: lncRNA (ENSOARG00000025426.1)
Source: RNAcentral